CGGCAACAGCUCAAAUUUGAAAUCUGGCUUUCGGGCCCGAGUUGUAAUUUGUAGAGGAUGCUUUUGAUGCGGUGCCUUCCGAGUUCCCUGGAACGGGACGCCAUAGAGGGUGAGAAUCCCGUC
RNAcentral lists this ribosomal RNA (123 nucleotides) under Fusarium oxysporum. RNAcentral's name for it is "partial large subunit ribosomal RNA". Lineage: Eukaryota; Fungi; Ascomycota; Sordariomycetes; Hypocreales; Nectriaceae. The record is from RNAcentral.